UGGGGAAUUUUGGACAAUGGGCGAAAGCCUGAUCCAGCAAUGCCGCGUGCAGGAAGAAGGCCUUCGGGUUGUAAACUGCUUUUGUACGGAACGAAAAGGCUCUUUCUAAUAAAGGGGGCUCAUGACGGUACCGUAAGAAUAAGCACCGGCUAACUACGUGCCAGCAGCCGCGGUAAUACGUAGGGUGCGAGCGUUAAUCGGAAUUACUGGGCGUAAAGCGUGCGCAGGCGGUUCUAUAAGACAGAUGUGAAAUCCCCGGGCUCAACCUGGGAAUGGCAUUUGUGACUGUAGAGCUAGAGUACGGUAGAGGGGGAUGGAAUUCCGCGUGUAGCAGUGAAAUGCGUAGAUAUGCGGAAGAACACCGAUGGCGAAGGCAAUCCCCUGGACCUGUACUGACGCUCAUGCACGAAAGCGUGGGGAGCAAACAGGAUUAGAUACCCCCGUAGUCCCUGAGCGGGCUGGCAAGGCG
Molecule: ribosomal RNA, 469 nt
Filed under: uncultured bacterium
Lineage: Bacteria
Description: bacterial SSU rRNA
Rfam family: Bacterial small subunit ribosomal RNA
Source: RNAcentral